AGGGUUUGACAUCCUGAGAACCUCUUAGAAAUUUGAGGGUGCCUUCGGGAAUUCAGUGACAGGUGGUGCAUGGCUGUCGUCAGCUCGUGUCGUGAGAUGUUGGGUUAAGUCCCGCAACGAGCGCAACCCACGUUUUUAGUUGCCAGCAUUUAGUUGGGCACUCUAGAAAGACCGCCGGUGAUAAACCGGAGGAAGGUGUGGAUGACGUCAAGUCAUCAUGCCCCUUACACCCUGGGCUACACACGUACUACAAUGCUACGGACAAAGGGCAGCAAACUCGCGAGAGCUAGCAAAUCCCAUAAACCGUGGCUCAGUUCAGAUCGUAGGCUGCAACUCGCCUACGUGAAGUAGGAAUCGCUAGUAAUCGCAGGUCAGCAUACUGCGGUGAAUACGUUCCCGGGCCU
This 404-nucleotide ribosomal RNA is filed under the name uncultured bacterium. RNAcentral's name for it is "bacterial SSU rRNA". It matches the Rfam family "Bacterial small subunit ribosomal RNA", at positions 976 to 1381 of the family's 1533-position model. The record is from RNAcentral.